UACGUAGGGUGCAAGCGUUGUCCGGAAUUAUUGGGCGUAAAGAGCUCGUAGGCGGUUUGUCGCGUCUGCUGUGAAAACCCGAGGCUCAACCUCGGGCCUGCAGUGGGUACGGGCAGACUAGAGUGCGGUAGGGGAGAUUGGAAUUCCUGGUGUAGCGGUGGAAUGCGCAGAUAUCAGGAGGAACACCCAAUGGCGAAGGCAGAUCUCUGGGCCGUAACUGACGCUGAGGAGCGAAAGCAUGGGGAGCGAACAGG
Molecule: ribosomal RNA, 254 nt
Filed under: uncultured bacterium
Lineage: Bacteria
Description: partial 16S ribosomal RNA
Rfam family: Bacterial small subunit ribosomal RNA
Source: RNAcentral